This is a long non-coding RNA of Callorhinchus milii (elephant shark), 82 nucleotides long. RefSeq lists it as uncharacterized. The record is from RefSeq and is a predicted model, not a curated record. NCBI's taxonomy places the organism in Eukaryota, Metazoa, Chordata, Chondrichthyes, Chimaeriformes, Callorhinchidae. The transcript has 3 exons.
AAAGAAGCAGAAAAAGAACUAAAAAAAUGUCGAGAAGAGCUGAGAAAAUACAAGGAUAAUGAUGAUAAAGCUUUAGGUAAGG